AUUUAGAUAUAUUUUUAAGAUGGAAAAACACAGUUUUACAGAUGCUAGAAACAUGAUUUUCGAAGGAAAUUCUGGGCUAACUAUCAAAGAUGGAUUUUAUACAGGAUUCGAACACCCAUGUAUUUUUCAGCUCUCUGCUUGUUUUUUUCCCCCCGGAAUGUAUCAAGCAAAAUCGAUUCAAGAAUUUGAGUGAACUUCAUAAGGAUUGUACUGAGGCUGGGGUCAAGGCAUCAAGAGGCACCACAAGGUGUGAUGUGUCAAGGAAUUUAUCUACAGUUGUCGUAUUCUUCUUGUUAAGCCACUCCUAAACUACAGACAAUGUCAGAGGGGUCUUACCUGGGCUAAAAUAAAACUGGACUGUUGCCCAAUGGUCCAAAGUCCUCUUUUUAGAUGAGAGAAAUUUUUGGAUUUCAUUUGGAAACCAAGGUCCAUAGCUCAAUUUUCCUGAAACCCAGUGUUAAGUUUCCAGGUCUGUGAUGAUUUGGGUUGAAGGGUCAUUUGCUGGUGUUGGUCCAUUGUGCUUUUUGAAACAUCACUGCACCAAUUUAGCAUGAGAUUUUGGAGCACUUCAUGUUUCUUUCUGCUUACCUCCAUGCCACGUCGGAUUGAGGCAGUAAUUAAAGAAAAAUGAGUACAGUAAAUAAACAUACUUUCCAGAAGGCCAAUAAUUCGCUUUUUUAUUGGUAUUAGGAAGUAUUCAAAUUUUUUGAGAGUGAAUUGGUGGGUUUUUGUUAAAUGUGAGUCUAAAAUGUUACAAUUAAAAUAAUUAAACUGCUUCAGUCUGUGUGCAAUGAAUUAAAUUAAUACACAAGUUCACAAUUUAAGUUGAAUUACUGAAAUAAAUGAACCUUUCCGUGACAGUUUAAAUUAUUGAGAUGCGGGCUAGCCAGCCAGAUCUAAUUUUUUCUAUAAGAUAAACAUAUUAGUGCAUUUCUAUUGUUUUGUCAAUAAACCUUAACCUAUCCCCAAACCUAAACCAACCCAUUUUAUAGCAAAUAUGGAUUUGUAUAAUUUCAUCAAUAAGCAAGUUAGAUUUUUAAACCCCUUAACCUAAAGCCAAACCAACCAAUUUUUUAUCGAAUAUAAAACGCAAUUGACCACAAUAUGCAAGAAUAUAACAAUUUUCCUAGUUUUUAAAUGCAAUUACAAUAAUUUAUUGAUUGCAUAAAUGUUAAAAGCUGUACCAAAGGUAAUCCAAAUGACAAUGUUUUGCAGCCACAGUCCUCCCUGGCGGAAUACAGUAGGCUGGUGAAAGGUGCAGAGCAGAAUUUAUGUUGUUAAUCACUGAACAUAUUUUCCCGAUCCUCUCUCUUCUGUGAACUUGUGAAACAUGCGCAUCAUUUCAAUACACCUAGCCAGAAACACAGCAUGUGGCAAUCUGUGAUGAAUGCAAGCAAGAGCCAGUGAGUAUCCUGUGGUAAAGAUUUGAAUUUGUAGUGAGUGCAUCAGACAGGAGCGGGUUUUGCUGUUUAUGGUCUCUAGUUUCACUGAUGAAGAUCGCCGAAUAAAGCCAUGGAUUUGGGUGUGCUCCUCUCAGUCGUAUGAAUGUGGAAGAUUUGGAUUACUGUUUCAUUUUGUAAUCAUGUGCAUGUUUGGUGUAUUUUUAUAGUUCUAUUAUCAGUUACAUGUCAGAGAAAAUGCCUUUUCUUGCCCAUAGAAUGUAAGUUGUACAUUAAAUGACGAAUAAAUAUUGUUUAAUUUAAAUGUUCAAAAUGGAGUCUUGUUUAACAUUAUAAAGGCCUGUUUUUGGAAAUGAGCUGGCAGCAGAAAUUUCAUAUUAAGUAAACAGUUUAAUAACGCAGUUGCAAACAAGGUUAAAAAAAUAAUAAAAUUAAAGUCACGAUUUUAAUAUGCAUACAAAUCUAUUUUUAGGUGUAGCUAAAAGCUAAAAGCUUUAAGUUCACCUGAAAAAAAAAAAAAAAACUCUUUCAUUGUAAUCCUAAUCUGUAAAGAUGACUUCUGUCUAAAGGCGCAUCCAUGAAGAGAUGGAGAGUCAGGAAAUUCGGACUCAGAAAACAUGUUUAUUAGUAAAUAAUUGAAAUGUCUUCCUGUUGUUUUCCCCAACACAUUCAUAAUUACUUUUGCUGAUGCUUUGCUGCAAGACUAUUGAGUCCAUCUGAGUGUAGAACUCUUCAUCUGCUGAGAGACACUAAACACAGUCGAGCAGUCGAGUAGCAUGGUCUGGUGUUGUUUCCAUUAGUACCGAGCAGCAAUUUUUAAUCACUAAUUGAUGGAUGUCUAAAAUAUAAAAAUAAGGAGGUCAAAACAGGCUGCAUCUGAACUAUGACUUGAAAAUUGUCCAGAAGCCCAGCCAAGGGACAUAAAAAAAGUCGGGGCCUUUUGGUCUAGGGCUUAAAUGCUGGCCUUUAUGCAGUAUUACCCGUCAGUUUUUUACUUUUACUUUCUGUAGAGUCAAUUGACAUAUACAGUCUUGAGCACUCAUUGCUUGCUUGACUCCUCCAAAAUAAUAUCAACUAUUUAUAAGCCACUUAUUAGUCACUUUUUAAAAAUUGCUUUUCCACUGUUAAUGAGAGUGAUAAUGAGAGCUCAAAAACAGGAAACAAUUAGAAAAUCCUUCUGAUGGGGCUGUAGCCUCGUCAAGCCUGGGUCUGGCUGGUUUCAGGAGCUGCAUGAUAUCGCUGCAAACGUUCUUGAAUGAGAGUCUAGCGUUUGCUGAGUAAGUAUGUCUGCUGUUAAAUAAAGUUCAUCUUGUCGAAAUGAUUCUGCGAUAAAGCUAUCGGUAUGAAACUAACACCAUGUCCGGUUUCUUUGUCUGAUCUAAUCUUUUAAUCUUUAAUUAUCACUUUUGUUCUUACAAUGGUCCCUGUGAGACUCAUGCGAUAUAAACACCCACAGCAGCUCACAUGCUCAAAGCAUGAAGAUUCAUCUCAUUUAGUUCAUCUCUGAAACUGUUCGUUUCUGGAAGAAGGGAGAAAUAAUUCUGUGAGCUGUGAAAUAACAGAAAAAGGCAGCUGAAAGGAAUAUGAAUUUACCUCAAGAUGCGACGCACAAACUGCCCCAGCCAUGGAGAGAUCUUCUGAAUGAUGAUCAGAUACCUGCUCCACAGAUGAAUCCCCAUCCUUUCACUCGAGGGUCUUUAAACUGUUUACUUCUAGGAGCGCUGUACCAACAUCAGAUGCUCAACUAAACUGAAGUUCUCUGAUAAAACAAGCUUGACUACUGAUCAUGGCUAUUUUGUUUCUUGAAUCCAUAGAAAGAAGCAGCAGUAUAAUUCAGUAGACUGAUGGAUCAUUCACUGAAUAUUAAUGGCCAUUAUCAGUUAUCAAGUCCAGACAGAGUUGAGGGAUCCUUCAGCCAUGACACCGAUAGAGACUGGCAGACCCAUGCUGAAUCUGGGAGACAGAUGGUGGGCUGAGGGUGAGCAGCAGUGGAAGAGACAGGAACAGGUUGGAGGGCAGGAUGUUCUCCUCUGGGCCUAACAAAUAAGGGCGCUCUUGCAGCACGGUCCCCGGAGGGUGCUCUUAAGAAGCUUCACUGGAGAGCACAUAUGGGCACUGGAAUUGGUCGCCCCUUGAUGACAUGUUGUAACAUAUCGGCCAGGCUCUAUCCUCACCCAGUCACAGAGAGCACAAUCUGCAUUGCUAAAGUCAAAGUUCACUUACCUCUUGUGUUCCCUCCAGUUCAUCAGGUGUCUCCAGUGAUCCUCCGCUCUCAUUUGCUGAAGUGUGUCCUCAUCUAUUUAACCCAGAGGAUUACAAAAGACUAUUACUCAUCAAUCAUCCCCAGUCAAACUUCACAAGUCUCCACUUAGCCUCCGGUUGAAGUUCGUAACUAAUUUGUGUGUUGAAAUAAACAACUUUUGUAUACCUGUUGUCUGGGGCCCUUCUGUUGCAUAUAUUUAAUGAACCUAAAUAAAAAGUGUUUGACAGUCGGUUUAAAAAAAAAACAUAUACUCUCAAAGUCAAAGGCUUGUAACAAAUGUCGUGGAGCCUUUGAGAUGCAGCAACAAAGGGUUGCAUAUGUCUGUAUAAAUUGAGAUUAUUGAGGUUUAUAUAAGGUUUUUUUUCCUCAUUCUGUAUGGAUGGGGUUUUGGUUCCUUGCCGCUGUCGCCUCUGGCUUGCUUUGUUAUUAUUUUUAUAAUCUGAAACAUACAUUUAAGUCAUUACUUAGUGGCUAGAAUCACUUUUUUAUAUGUAACACAAAGUUUUGCUGUGUGACUUUUAUUUGGACAUAAUAAAAUCACUAUUACUGUAUAACAUCUAAAAUGUAUAAUAUUUUGCUAAAGUUCCACUUCCUACUGAAGUAUUAAUUUGUUCAGUCAUACACAGUCAGAAAGUGUCUAAAUUAUACACAAAGUCCAAUUUAGGAUAGCCUAAAAAUUCAUAGAAAUAUUACAGUAAUAAUGCAAUUUCAUAAAUAAUUUUGACAGGCAAAAGGCUUGACAACUCUAAAGAGAGCAAAAGUGGGUAUUUCUCAAUUUCUGGGCGUUUUCAAACCGCUGGGUGUUUCUCAUUAAUCCAAUCAAAAUGAUCCUUCAAACCUACCCUCUCUAUGACGUCAGCCAAUCAGGUACAUAGUGUAAAAAUGCCCUUAUUCAAAACAUUUCUCAAAAAUACUGAAAAUAUUAUUCUGACCCCAAAUAUAAGAGUGUACAUAAACCCCAAAAACAGAGGUGGGUGGUAACGAGUUACAUUUACUAAUACUUUUAGAGUAUAUUAGAGUAUAUUGAAAGUAAUUUUGUGAAAAACUUAAUGCAGAAUAAGUUAAAAAUGCUUUUGUUUUUUUAAAGUUGCUAUUCUGUAAAUGUCAAAUGAGUCACCUUUAUUUAUAUAGCGCUUUUAACAAUACAUAUUGUGUCAAAGCACUGAACACUAUCAAAUAUUGGAGAGUGUCAGUAAUGUAUAAAGACAAGAUGAAACACUUAAUCUUUAGCUAAAGGCAUUUCAUUAUUGAAUGCAGACACGUUAUUGUCUAGAUCAGCCCAAUUUCAGUAGGAUCUUUGUAAUCAAAUUGAUGAUAAUCACUGUGUGAAAAGUGUUGCCAACUAAGCAAGCCAGAGGCAACAGCAGCA
Molecule: long non-coding RNA, 5032 nt
Organism: Puntigrus tetrazona (Sumatra barb)
Lineage: Eukaryota; Metazoa; Chordata; Actinopteri; Cypriniformes; Cyprinidae
Exons: 4
Source: RefSeq, a predicted model, not a curated record